ACUUUUUUAAUAGAAAUACUGCACAAUGGGAUUUUCUGUCUUCACAACAAUGCUUAAACCGCAUCAGGGGACCACUUUUGAUGUAUGGAAAAAAUCUAAGAAACUUUGAUUUUUGAGUGUAGUUACCGUUUAAUUCAGUGAGCAUGCACUGUUUGGUUAGAAGUGUUUCUGUAUCACAGCAACGGCACAUGUGAUGGAAUUUGGAAAUCAAAUGGAUACUUGUAGUAAUACUGGACAGCGAAAAAUGAUGGGGGAGAGGGUGAAUGUGACAAAGUCCUGACUGGGCCCAGCACCGCACGUCACUGUGCCUGUUCCCCUGGCCCCGAAGAGGAACCAGUGGCAUGAUGUCACACACCUGUUUGGCUGGAGGCAGGGGCCUGGAGACUCUAGGAGCUGUGGGGUGUCAAGUUGGCACCCCUGCUACGCCCUGUGGAUGUGUCAAAAUGGCAGAUGAUGGUCGGGGUGUGUGCAGCUGCUAGGGAUGAAGAGUGCCAAGAGCGAAUGUUUCCUGCGUUUCUAGUGACAGCCUGUCUUAAUGCCUGUCCUGUGUCCCUUGUGGGGAGUGGGAUCCGGCCUGACGAGAAGGCCUUGCAAUAAGCCUUUAUCAGCCAAGCCCACACAGUACCAGGGGGCCCCGGUCUCCUCCAACAACUCAUGAUGUGGAGGGGAGAUGGACAGAGCUCCGUGGUCCUCUGGUCGAGCAUCAGAACAGGAUUCAGCCCAUUGUGCCAUUCAAAUUAAGCAGGAAUCAAAAGGGAGAGCGGAAGCUGUUGUGCCUGUGUUGUCUUGUGUUAUUUUAACCAGCUUAACUCAAGCCUCUUCAUGGACGAGUGUGCUGCAUGCUGUUGGAUGCCGAUGAUGAUAAGUGGUGGAUUGUAUGUUAAGACUGCUAAGCUGUUGGGUUGGCUGAACUGGGUUGCUGGCUCAAGUAGCUGUUGUUGUUCCUGAUUUUGGCUGAAGUUGAACCGCUUCAAUAGGUUACCAAGGAUUUUCCACUGGAAAUCGCUGACUUGGCUGUCCAUGUAUACUGUCUCUUCAUGUGACCAUAGGGACUUCUGUCUAUUUCAUGAUGUUUUCAUAAAAAAGAAAGAAAGAAAGCAGAACAACAACAAAAAGUUCAGGUGCUUAUUUCAAGUAAUAUCAAAAUAAACCCAUGGCAUGGAUGUCUAUAAUGUCCUUUUUACCAGUUAGAAUGCUAUGGUCGAUAUCUUCAAUGCCUAUUUUAUUUGAAGUGUUCCAUUAAAUAUAGACUGCUCUGUUGGCAACAUAUUUAAAAAUGAGACCUGUCCCCACUUUAAUAAUGAUGCCAAUAACAUCUUAAUACAUGCUGCAAUAAACAUACAGGCAAAGAUGA
Molecule: long non-coding RNA, 1354 nt
Filed under: Salmo salar (Atlantic salmon)
Lineage: Eukaryota; Metazoa; Chordata; Actinopteri; Salmoniformes; Salmonidae
Description: lncRNA (ENSSSAG00000110326.1)
Source: RNAcentral